RNAcentral lists this long non-coding RNA (251 nucleotides) under Pelobates cultripes (western spadefoot toad). Lineage: Eukaryota; Metazoa; Chordata; Amphibia; Anura; Pelobatidae. The record is from RNAcentral.
UCCAAACUGUUUUUAUUAAUAUUGCUUUGGUCACUGUAGUUAGGCACCUUAUGCUAGACAUUCAGUUUUCAUCCAAACUGGUUUUCUGGAUAUUGCAAUGGUCACUUUAAUUAAACUUUAUUACUUGACUUUCAGUUUGCUCCAACUGUUUUUAUUAAUAUUGCUAUGGUCACUUUAGUUAGAUUUUUAAUGCUAGACAUUCAGUUUUGCUCCAAACUGUAUCUGGAUAUGCAUGGCCACUUUAGUUAAAC